RNAcentral lists this ribosomal RNA (448 nucleotides) under Cladonia stygia. Its description in RNAcentral is "SSU rRNA". It matches the Rfam family "Bacterial small subunit ribosomal RNA", at positions 777 to 1190 of the family's 1533-position model. The record is from RNAcentral. Lineage: Eukaryota; Fungi; Ascomycota; Lecanoromycetes; Lecanorales; Cladoniaceae.
AUUAGAUACCCCAAUAGUCAAAGCAGAAAAUGAUGAAUGUCAUAGAUUAGAUAUACAAUUUAUUCUAUAAAUGAAAGUGUAAGCAUUCCACCUCAAGAGUAAUUUGGCAACAUUGGAACUGAAAUCAUUAGACCGUUUCUGAAACCAGUAGUGAAGUAUGUUGUUUAAUUUGAUGAUACGCAAAAAACCUUACCACAAUUUGAAUAUUUAUAUAUAUCUUUUAUUGAUUUUUACUAACAUAUAUGUAGACAAUUAAAAUGAUGCUUAUUUCUCGUUUGUGAGACUAAGCAUCAAAAAAGAUAGUAUAUUUACAAGCGUUGCACGGCUGUCUUCAGUUAAUGUCGUGAGAUUUUGGUUAGUUCCAUUAAAUUAACGUAAACCCUUACUUUAUUUUUAUAUAAAGUAGUUCUCCGCUAUAUUGGAUAUGAUAACAGGGACUAAGACAAGU